RNAcentral lists this ribosomal RNA (390 nucleotides) under uncultured bacterium. Its description in RNAcentral is "bacterial SSU rRNA". It matches the Rfam family "Bacterial small subunit ribosomal RNA", at positions 30 to 422 of the family's 1533-position model. The record is from RNAcentral.
AUUGAACGCUGGCGGCAUGCCUUACACAUGCAAGUCGAACGGUAACAGGUCUUCGGAUGCUGACGAGUGGCGAACGGGUGAGUAAUACAUCGGAACGUGCCCAGACGUGGGGGAUAACGAGGCGAAAGCUUUGCUAAUACCGCAUACGAUCUAAGGAUGAAAGCAGGGGACCGCAAGGCCUUGCGCGUUUGGAGCGGCCGAUGGCAGAUUAGGUAGUUGGUGGGAUAAAAGCUUACCAAGCCGACGAUCUGUAGCUGGUCUGAGAGGACGACCAGCCACACUGGGACUGAGACACGGCCCAGACUCCUACGGGAGGCAGCAGUGGGGAAUUUUGGACAAUGGGCGAAAGCCUGAUCCAGCAAUGCCGCGUGCAGGACGAAGGCCUUCGGG